This 624-nucleotide ribosomal RNA is filed under the name uncultured fungus. RNAcentral describes it as "eukaryotic LSU rRNA". It matches the Rfam family "Eukaryotic large subunit ribosomal RNA", at positions 24 to 664 of the family's 3401-position model. Lineage: Eukaryota; Fungi. The record is from RNAcentral.
CCCGCUGAACUUAAGCAUAUCAAUAAGCGGAGGAAAAGAAACCAACAGGGAUUACCCUAGUAACGGCGAGUGAAGCGGUAACAGCUCAAAUUUGAAAUCUGGCCUUCACAGGUCCGAGUUGUAAUUUGUAGAGGAAGUUUCGGACAAGACUUUGGUUUAAGUUUCUUGGAACAGAACGUCAUAGAGGGUGAGAGUCCCGUCUAGAACCGCUAGUCGCGUCCAUGUGAAUCUCCUUCGACGAGUCGAGUUGUUUGGGAAUGCAGCUCAAAAUGGGUGGUAAAUUUCAUCUAAAGCUAAAUAUUGGCCAGAGACCGAUAGCGCACAAGUAGAGUGAUCGAAAGAUGAAAAGCACUUUGAAAAGAGAGUUAAACAGUAUGUGAAAUUGUUGAAAGGGAAGCGCUUGCAACCAGACUUGUGUAUAACGGUUCCCCCAAUCUUUUGACUGGGUUAUUCUGUUAUAUCCAGGCCAGCAUCGGUUCGGAUGGUUGUUUAAAGACUUUAGGAAUGUAUCUACCUUCGGGUCGACUUAUAGCCUAAUGUGUAAUACAGCCUAUCUGGACCGAGGAACGCGCUUUUGCUCGGAUGCUGGCGUAAUGGUUGUAAGCGGCCCGUCUUGAAACACGG